RNAcentral lists this ribosomal RNA (301 nucleotides) under uncultured bacterium. Its description in RNAcentral is "partial 16S ribosomal RNA". It matches the Rfam family "Bacterial small subunit ribosomal RNA", at positions 509 to 808 of the family's 1533-position model. The record is from RNAcentral.
CAGUCGCCGCGGGAAUACGUAGGGGGCAAGCGUUAUCCGGAAUAACUGGGCGUAAAGGGUGCGCAGGUGGUUUAACAAGUUAGUGGUGAAAGGCAUAGGCUCAACCAAUGUAAGCCAUCAAAACUGUUUAACUUGAGUGCAGGAGAGGAAAGUGGAAUUCCUAGUGUAGCGGUGAAAUGCGUAGAUAUUAGGAGGAAUACCAGUGGCGAAGGCGACUUUCUGGACUGCAACUGACACUGAGGCACGAAAGCGUGGGGAGCAAACAGGAUUAGAUACCCCUGUAGUCCCUGUCUCUUAUACA